RNAcentral lists this ribosomal RNA (492 nucleotides) under uncultured bacterium. Its description in RNAcentral is "partial 16S ribosomal RNA". It matches the Rfam family "Bacterial small subunit ribosomal RNA", at positions 29 to 507 of the family's 1533-position model. The record is from RNAcentral.
AGUGAACGCUGGCGGUAGGCCUAACACAUGCAAGUCGAACGGCAGCACAGUAAGAGCUUGCUCUUACGGGUGGCGAGUGGCGGACGGGUGAGGAAUACAUCGGAAUCUACUUUUUCGUGGGGGAUAACGUAGGGAAACUUACGCUAAUACCGCAUACGACCUACGGGUGAAAGCAGGGGAUCUUCGGACCUUGCGCGAUUGAAUGAGCCGAUGUCGGAUUAGCUAGUUGGCGGGGUAAAGGCCCACCAAGGCGACGAUCCGUAGCUGGUCUGAGAGGAUGAUCAGCCACAGUGGAGAGGAGACGCGGCCCAGCCUCCUACGGGAGGGAGCAGGGGGAAAUAUUGAACAAGGGGCGAAGCCUUGACCCACCCAUACUGCGGGGGUGAAGAGGGCUUUCGGGUUGAAAGCCCUUUUUGUGGGAAAAAAAAAGCAGCAGGUUAAUACCCCGCUGUUCUGAGGGUACCAAAAAAAAAAGCCCCGGCUAACUUCGUC